Molecule: ribosomal RNA, 237 nt
Filed under: Enterobacter sp. LR6
Lineage: Bacteria; Pseudomonadati; Pseudomonadota; Gammaproteobacteria; Enterobacterales; Enterobacteriaceae
Description: partial 16S ribosomal RNA
Rfam family: Bacterial small subunit ribosomal RNA
Source: RNAcentral
UUGGUGCCUUCGGGAACUCUGAGACAGGUGCUGCAUGGCUGUCGUCAGCUCGUGUUGUGAAAUGUUGGGUUAAGUCCCGCAACGAGCGCAACCCUUAUCCUUUGUUGCCAGCGGUUAGGCCGGGAACUCAAAGGAGACUGCCAGUGAUAAACUGGAGGAAGGUGGGGAUGACGUCAAGUCAUCAUGGCCCUUACGAGUAGGGCUACACACGUGCUACAAUGGCGCAUACAAAGAGAA